ACCUUCGGCAACAUACGUCGACUUCGGGUGUCGCCUACUCGAUUGGUGUGACGGGCGGUGUGUACAAGGCCCAAGUACAUAUUCACCGCGGUAUGGCUGACCCGCGAUUACUACCGAUUCCAUCUUCAUGGGGUCGGGUUGCAGACCCCAAUCCGCACUGGGGGCACCUUUUUGAGAUUUGCUCGUCCUUGCAGACUUGCUCCUCAUUGUAGUGCCCAUUGUAGCACGUGUGUCGCCCAGAGCAUAAGGAUCAUAAUGACUUGACGUCAUCCCCUCCUUCCUCCGGAUAUUCUCCGGCAGUCCCCUUAUAGUACCCGGCAUUACCCGCUGGCAAUUAAGAGCAGGGGUUGCGCUCGUUACGGGACUUAACCCAACGUCCCACGACACGAGCUGACGACAGCCAUGCAAUACCUGCCACGGCUCCUCAAGCAAAGCUUGAGGUCG
This 444-nucleotide ribosomal RNA is filed under the name uncultured bacterium. Its description in RNAcentral is "partial 16S ribosomal RNA". The record is from RNAcentral.